GAUGAAGAACUUAGCGAAAUGCGAUACGUAAUGUGAAUUGCAGAAUUCAGUGAAUCAUCGAAUCUUUGAACGCACAUUGCGCCCGCUAGUAUUCUGGCGGGCAUGCCUGUCCGAGCGUCAUUUCAACCCAUCAAGCUUAGCGCUUGUGUUGGAGCCCUGCGGCCGCCGCAGCCUCCUAAAAUCAGUGGCGGGCUCGCUAUCACGCUGAGUGCAGUAGUAUUCUUCUCACUCCUGUGGUGUAGCGGGUAACCAGCCGUAAACCCCCCCAUCUAUAAAGGUUGACCUCGGAUCAGGUAGGAAUACCCGCUGAACUUAAGCAUAUCAAUAAGCGGAGGA
RNAcentral lists this unclassified non-coding RNA (336 nucleotides) under soil metagenome. RNAcentral describes it as "partial contains 5.8S ribosomal RNA, internal transcribed spacer 2, and large subunit ribosomal RNA". The stretch from base 1 to 120 matches the Rfam family "5.8S ribosomal RNA", at positions 35 to 154 of the family's 154-position model. The record is from RNAcentral.